This 484-nucleotide ribosomal RNA is filed under the name uncultured bacterium. RNAcentral describes it as "partial 16S ribosomal RNA". It matches the Rfam family "Bacterial small subunit ribosomal RNA", at positions 29 to 507 of the family's 1533-position model. The record is from RNAcentral.
AUUGAACGCUGGCGGAAUGCUUUACACAUGCAAGUCGAGCGGCAGCACGGGGGCAACCCUGGUGGCGAGCGGCGAACGGGUGAGUAAUACAUCGGAACAUGCCCAGUCGUGGGGGAUAACACUUCGAAAGAAGUGCUAAUACCGCAUACGUCCUGAGGGGGAAAGCGGGGGAUCGCAAGACCUCGCGCGAUUGGAGUGGCCGAUGUCAGAUUAGCUAGUUGGUGGGGUAAAGGCCUACCAAGGCAACGAUCUGUAGCUGGUCUGAGAGGAUGAUCAGCCAAACUGGGACUUAGAAACGGCCCCGACUCCUACGGGAGGCAGGCGUGGGGGAAUUUGGACAAUGGGGGGCACCCUGAUCCAGCCAAUCCGCGGGAGUGAAGAAGGGCUUCGGGUUGUAAAGCUCUUUCGGCAGGGACGAAACGGUGGGCUCUAAAAUAGGUUGCUAAUGAAGGUACCUGAAGAAGAAGCACCGGCUAACUACGUG